AGCAGCCGCGGUAAUUCCAGCUCCAAUAGCGUAUAUUAAAGUUGUUGCAGUUAAAAGCUCGUAGUUGAAUUUCGGGAUCAAUACGUCGGUCGUGCUUCGGUACGUACUGGCGUAAUUGAUUUCUCCCUUCUGACGAACCAUGAUGUCAUUAACUUGGUGUCAUGGGAAAUCAGGACUGUUACUUUGAAAAAUUAGAGUGUUUAAAGCAGGCUCACGCUUGAAUACAUUAGCAUGGAAUAAUGAAAUAGGACGUUCGAUCCUAUUUUGUUGGUUUUAGGAUCAACGUAAUGAUUAAUAGGGAUAGUUGGGGGCAUUAGUAUUCAAUUGUCAGAGGUGAAAUUCUUGGAUUUAUUGAAGACUAACUACUGCGAAAGCAUUUGCCAAGGAUGUUUUCAUUAAUCAAGAACGAAAGUUAGGGAUCGAAGACGAUCAGAUACCGUCGUAGUCUUAACCAUAAACUAUGCCGACUAGGGAUCGGAUGAUGUUAAUUUUUAAUGUACUCAUUCGGCGCCUUAAC
RNAcentral lists this unclassified non-coding RNA (517 nucleotides) under uncultured Glomus. RNAcentral's name for it is "SSU rRNA". It matches the Rfam family "Eukaryotic small subunit ribosomal RNA", at positions 569 to 1092 of the family's 1831-position model. The record is from RNAcentral. Lineage: Eukaryota; Fungi; Glomeromycota; Glomeromycetes; Glomerales; Glomeraceae.